AACGAACGCUGGCGGCAUGCCUAACACAUGCAAGUCGAACGAGACCUCCGUGCCUUGUUGCGCACGGGUGCGUAACGCGUGGGAACCUGCCCUUAGGUUCCGUAUAACUCCCUGUAAGGUGUGCUAAUACAGGAUAAUGUCUUCCGACCUAAGAUUUCUCGCCAUUGGAUGGGCCCGCGUUGGUUUCGCUAGUUGGUAGGGUAAAAGCCUGUCAAGGCGUCGAUGCAUAGCUGGUCUGAGAGCAGGAUCAGCCACACUGGGGCUGAGACACGGCCCAGAAUGGUACGCAAGGGAGGAGAGGAGUAUAUUGGACGAGGGGGGAAGGCGUGAUCAAGCAAUGGCGGGUAAGUGAUGAAGGGGGUAGGGAAGUAAAGCUGUUUUACACGGGGUGAUAAUGACAGUACCGGGAGAAUAAGCACCGGCUAACUCCGUG
Molecule: ribosomal RNA, 433 nt
Filed under: uncultured bacterium
Lineage: Bacteria
Description: partial 16S ribosomal RNA
Rfam family: Bacterial small subunit ribosomal RNA
Source: RNAcentral